GAUCGGUGCUCUUUCAGCUUCGCCACCCAUGGACAGUUUAAGUGUUAACAGCUCAGUGGAAGGUCAGUGUGCAGCCAUUGAAACCAGCCUGGAAGAGAAAUGGCUGUUGGAACAUGAGACAGGAUGGAUAUGAAAGAUAUUCCUGUCGACUGUGUUAAGUUUCAGAUGCUGGCUAGCCUUUGAAGUAGAAAUGUGAAGAACACUGAAGAUGUGAAUCUGGGGUUCAGGGUAUAGGGCAGGACUCAAGAUUCUCCUUGGAGAUUGUGCAUUUUAUCUUGAAAGAAUUCCAUUGUUUUUCAGAGUAGUAAUUUCAUUUGAUAGAAUAAAGAGCCAGGGUAUUUUGAGUAGAAUGAUGAGAAAAAUUUUAAUCAAACUUCUUAAAAAAUAAUUGUGAAUAAAAAUAAGAGUAAAAUAUAGGUGAUUUUCAGUCAGCCUCAGUGACCUGUCUGUAUCUGACCUGAGUCCCAGCUGAUACAGCCAGUAGACUGUAGAAAAUUCAGAAUUUAUUUGCAUGUUUUAAAGCUAUUGAGAAGAAGAAUUAGACAUUUUAAUUUCUCCCCCCACCCCUAUAAGGAACCUUGUGGAUAUACUUGUGAGCCUUACCUGUUUUUUUCUUAGCAGGAAACCAGUCAGAAGUGGGAGGCCUCUGAACAAACCAUACUGUAGCCUCCAGCUUCUGCUUUCUCCAGGCAGAAUGCUGGCCCUCGGUGCCUCUUUCUGCUUCUCCUUGUUCAGACCACUGAGGACUGCCCCUGUCCUGUCUGACUCCUCCUGUUGUGAUUCUCAAAGGUUCCUGUGGAGCCACACCACCUCCUGUAUUGGCACUUCAUUAGGCCAAGGCUGCUUUCUGAAAGGAUCUGGCUGGUAGACCGUGACCUUGAUCCCUGCCUCUAAGCCUAGCUUUAUUCUCAUCAGCCACCACCUUUUUGGCGCUAGAACAGUGCUUUU
RNAcentral lists this long non-coding RNA (948 nucleotides) under Callithrix jacchus (white-tufted-ear marmoset). RNAcentral describes it as "lncRNA (ENSCJAG00000083481.1)". The record is from RNAcentral. Lineage: Eukaryota; Metazoa; Chordata; Mammalia; Primates; Cebidae.